AUUGAACGCUGGCGGCAUGCUUUACACAUGCAAGUCGAGCGGCAGCGCGGGGGCAACCCUGGCGGCGAGCGGCGAACGGGUGAGUAAUGUAUCGGAACGUACCUUUCAGUGGGGGGAUAACGUAGCGAAAGUUACGCUAAUACCGCAUAUUCUGUGAGCAGGAAAGCAGGGGAUCGCAAGACCUUGCGCUGAUUGAGCGGCCGAUAUCAGAUUAGCUAGUUGGUGAGGUAAAGGCUCACCAAGGCGACGAUCUGUAGCGGGUCUGAGAGGAUGAUCCGCCACACUGGAACUGAGACACGGUCCAGACUCCUACGGGAGGCAGCAGUGGGAAUUUGGACAAUGGGGGCAACCCUGAUCCAGCCAUGCCGCGUGAGUGAAGAAGGCC
This 385-nucleotide ribosomal RNA is filed under the name uncultured bacterium. RNAcentral describes it as "bacterial SSU rRNA". It matches the Rfam family "Bacterial small subunit ribosomal RNA", at positions 30 to 416 of the family's 1533-position model. The record is from RNAcentral.